GUUUGACGUUAGCGACAGAAGAAAGCACCGGCUAACUCCGUGCCAGCAGCCGCGGUAAUACGGAGGGUGCGAGCGUUAAUCGGAAUUACUGGGCGUAAAGCGCAUGCAGGUGGUUUGUUAAGUCAGAUGUGAAAGACCCGGGGCGUCAACCUCGGAAUUGCAUUUGUAAACUAGGCAGACUAGAGUACUGUAGAGGGGGGUAGGAAUUUCAGGUGUAGCGGUGAAAUAGCGUAGAGAUCUGAAGGAAUACCGGUGGCGAAGGCGGCCCCCUCGGACAGAUACUGACACUCAGAUGCGAAAGCGUGGGGAGCAAACAGGAUUAGAUACCCUGGUAG
This 335-nucleotide ribosomal RNA is filed under the name uncultured bacterium. RNAcentral describes it as "bacterial SSU rRNA". It matches the Rfam family "Bacterial small subunit ribosomal RNA", at positions 467 to 793 of the family's 1533-position model. The record is from RNAcentral.